Molecule: non-coding RNA, 469 nt
Organism: Cinara cedri
Lineage: Eukaryota; Metazoa; Arthropoda; Insecta; Hemiptera; Aphididae
Source: the annotation of a GenBank genome assembly
UAACCUUUUCAAACGGAUUACGGUGAUUCGUCUCCUCUUCUACAAUCCUUCUCCAGUGUCCCGUGUUCGGUACCCUGUUUAUGCUUAAUGAUUUCUUUGUUUUUGACAUUUUUGCCACGUUAAACCAUUUGGUGUGGUUUCCUCAACUUAAUUGGUCUCCUACUCGGAUUCACCACCAUAACUUGUCUUACGAGGAAGAUCUUACUAUUUCUCUGCCCAUCAAAACAUGUACCACCCAUUCUAGUCGUUUACUACGAGUGACUUAGUAAAUACUUGGGUUGUUAUAGAGUUUAUCCAUAUCAAACUUCUUUCUUUCGAAUAUUCCCUAGCCCGAAUUUUAGAGUACCUGGCCCAUAAACUGUUCUCGACAUUUUCCUCUCGAAACAUGAUGAGACGUUUUUCUUGUCUCCUUUUGAACUGGCUAAUUUUUCACACGCUAUGGGACGAAAGUAUGUAGUGUAACCCAAUA